ACUAAGCCAUGCGAGUCAUUGUAGCAAUACAAGGCAUACGGCUCAGUAACGCGUAGUCAACCUACCCUAUGGACGGAAAUAACCUCGGGAAACUGAGAAUAAUAUCCGAUAGAACAUUAUGCCUGGAAUGGUUUAUGUUCCAAAUGAUUUAUCGCCGUAGGAUGGGACUGCGGCCUAUCAGUUUGUUGGUGAGGUAAUGGCCCACCAAGACUAUUACAGGUACGGGCUCUGAGAGGAGUAGCCCGGAGAUGGGUACUGAGACACGGACCCAGGCCCUAUGGGGCGCAGCAGGCGAGAAAACUUUGCAAUGUGCGAAAGCACGACAAGGUUAAUCCGAGUGAUUUCUGCUAAAGAAAUCUUUUGUUAGUCCUAGAAACACUAACGAAUAAGGGGUGGGCAAGUCCUGGUGUCAGCCGCCGCGGUAAAACCAGCACCUCAAGUGGCCAGGAUGAUUAUUGGGCCUAAAGCAUCCGUAGCCGGCUCUGUAAGUCCUCGGUUAAAUCUGUACGCUUAACGUACAGGCUGCCGGGAAUACUGCAUAGCUAGGGAGUGGGAGAGGUAGACGGUACUCGGUAGGAAGGGGUAAAACCCUUUGAUCUAUUGAUGACCACCUGUGGCGAAGGCGGUCUACCAGAACACGUCCGACGGUGAGGGAUGAAAGCUGGGGGAGCAAACCGGAUUAGAUACCCGGGUAGUCCCAGCUGUAAACUAUGCAAACUCAGUGAUGCAUUGGCUUGUGGCCAAUGCAGUGCUGCAGGGAAGCCGUUAAGUUUGCCGCCUGGGAAGUACGUACGCAAGUAUGAAACUUAAAGGAAUUGGCGGGGGAGCACCACAAGGGGUGAAGCCUGCGGUUCAAUUGGAUUCAACGCCGGGAA
This 875-nucleotide ribosomal RNA is filed under the name uncultured archaeon. RNAcentral's name for it is "bacterial SSU rRNA". It matches the Rfam family "Archaeal small subunit ribosomal RNA", at positions 43 to 924 of the family's 1478-position model. The record is from RNAcentral.